Molecule: small nucleolar RNA, 91 nt
Organism: Bombina bombina (fire-bellied toad)
Lineage: Eukaryota; Metazoa; Chordata; Amphibia; Anura; Bombinatoridae
Product: small nucleolar SNORD12/SNORD106
Exons: 1
Source: RefSeq, a predicted model, not a curated record
GCUGAUGUGUAUGAUGACUAAACUUUUUUCCCCAUCAGAUCGACACUGUUGAUUUUUGAUGCUAGAAGCCAAAUAUGUCUGACACAUCAGA